Molecule: long non-coding RNA, 1144 nt
Organism: Chiroxiphia lanceolata (lance-tailed manakin)
Lineage: Eukaryota; Metazoa; Chordata; Aves; Passeriformes; Pipridae
Exons: 5
Source: RefSeq, a predicted model, not a curated record
CGAACUGUCACCCGUGGCCGAGGAGGCGUCUGGCGGUCUGUGAGGGCCGGUAUACCUCCCCGUUGCCCUCUCUCGCCAUUUUGGGGUGUUUUUCGCUCUGUCACCUCGUCUUCUCAUCGCUAGCGGGCUCAGACGGGCAUCGGGGCGGAGGUCGCGGCUCUUCACACGCCGAGCGCCGCCUGAGGAGUGCUCUGUGUGUUGGGAGCCUCCCGAGGGCCCACGCCCGCCAUUUUCUCUCCCUCAGGAUGCUCCUGUGUUGGCGAGCGCUGCGGUUCCCCUCAUCUUCCCCGCUGCGACUGCCUCACGCCAACACACCUAAGAGCUUGGGGCUGGGUAAUUUUCUAACUUAAAGGGAAAAUAACACAAAUUAAGCUGUUCCCGCUUAGGCGGCCGUUCAGGGCAAAGCCCUCGCCGCUCUGCCCACCAGCCCCAGGGGAAGGAGCAGAGCUGGACUCGCUGCUGGAGAAGGUCCCCCGUAGCUUUAUUUGCUGCAGGACCCACUGAAAUCAUCCUCAGCUUUAACAACACGACAGGCUACUUGAAAUGCAAAAGAUCUGUGUAAAUAUACCCUCUGGUUGCAGGUGCUGUGGAAAAAGAAGAAACUAUAAGGGAGGGGGAGCUGAAUUGUAAAGGUUAAGAAACUUCUCAGGUUCACAAAGCAAGCAGUGGCACGAUGAGGAAUAAACCCACGGUCUGGUAUCCUGUUCCAGCCACUAGACCUUGUGUUCCUCCACACUCAUGCAAGUUACAGUAAAUGCAUUAUGAGUAAACUGCGAGCAGGUGAAGGAGGUGUCAUUUACAGAAGAAGAAAAAGGAAAAUCACUAAAGGGAAUCAUGUGAAGGCAAGCCUGGAAGAAUGUGAGGUGGUGAGAGCAGCCUGGGCUCACUGCCAGGGAACCAUGCGGCCUGGGUGGGGAAACAACCUGACAGGUGGAUGAGGACAACCAAUAGGCUGCACCAGAAAGCAAAGCUCGCCUUUUAAGGAAGAAAAGAGCGAGGGCUGGCAUGGGAGGAGCGAGGGAGUGGCUAUGUUAAAUUGAAGGAUCUUCAAAGGUCUUGUCCCUCCUAUCCAGGUGUGCUCGAACUGGGUCACAAGUUCGAUGCACCCAGUACACUGUUAAAUAAAGUUCCUUGUUUCACUUUA